UGCCGCCAUAGCUCAGUUGGUAGAGCAGGGGACUGAAAAUCCCCGUGUCCUUGGUUCAAGUCCGAGUGGCGGCAUCC
Molecule: transfer RNA, 77 nt
Filed under: Armatimonadota bacterium
Lineage: Bacteria; Bacillati; Armatimonadota
Description: tRNA-Phe
Rfam family: tRNA
About the family: Transfer RNA (tRNA) molecules are approximately 80 nucleotides in length. Their secondary structure includes four short double-helical elements and three loops (D, anti-codon, and T loops). Further hydrogen bonds mediate the characteristic L-shaped molecular structure. tRNAs have two regions of fundamental functional importance: the anti-codon, which is responsible for specific mRNA codon recognition, and the 3' end, to which the tRNAs corresponding amino acid is attached (by aminoacyl-tRNA synthetases). tRNAs cope with the degeneracy of the genetic code in two manners: having more than one tRNA (with a specific anti-codon) for a particular amino acid; and 'wobble' base-pairing, i.e. permitting non-standard base-pairing at the 3rd anti-codon position.
Source: RNAcentral